This 372-nucleotide ribosomal RNA is filed under the name uncultured bacterium. RNAcentral's name for it is "bacterial SSU rRNA". It matches the Rfam family "Bacterial small subunit ribosomal RNA", at positions 525 to 896 of the family's 1533-position model. The record is from RNAcentral.
ACGGAGGGAGCUAGCGUUGUUCGGAAUUACUGGGCGUAAAGCGUACGUAGGCGGUUAUUCAAGUCAGAGGUGAAAGCCCGGGGCUCAACCCCGGAACGGCCUUUGAAACUAGAUAGCUAGAGUCUUGGAGAGGUCAGUGGAAUUCCGAGUGUAGAGGUGAAAUUCGUAGAUAUUCGGAAGAACACCAGUGGCGAAGGCGACUGACUGGACAAGUACUGACGCUGAGGUACGAAAGCGUGGGGAGCAAACAGGAUUAGAUACCCUGGUAGUCCACGCCGUAAACGAUGAUAACUAGCUGUCCGGGUACUUGGUAUCUGGGUGGCGCAGCUAACGCAUUAAGUUAUCCGCCUGGGGAGUACGGUCGCAAGAUUA